Molecule: small RNA, 1214 nt
Filed under: Histoplasma capsulatum
Lineage: Eukaryota; Fungi; Ascomycota; Eurotiomycetes; Onygenales; Ajellomycetaceae
Also listed under: 1 other name
Description: hypothetical RNA
Source: RNAcentral
CCCGUGAUUCAGAGUAAUAUGGCAUCCCUAAAGCACUCGGGACAUAAACGUCAAGCAUCCAGCGACUCUGCUCAUGACAAGUUUCAUAGGAAUAUUACUAUCAAUUCUUCGACGGAAUCGUUCCAGUCUAAAGGCUCGGACCGGAUUCAUAAUCGAUAUGCUUUUCCCUAUCCCGCUGGUAACCAGAGUUCCAAAAUUGCUACGGUUACGAAGGACUCGCUGCCUCGUGCAAAUACAGCUUUAAAAAAAGACCCGAAGGAAACUAAAGAGCGUUUGGAAAUUAGCGGGACACGGCGGUUUGGGAUAUUUUCAAGAAAAGGAAAAUCGGAUACGGAUAUAGUUGGUUCGGGAUGGAAAGAUAAACCAAGCCGACGUGGCCCUGCUGCAGGAACCGGCCACGAAGGUUAUCAGAGGUACGCCCAGCGGGGCCGCAGAUCCAGCAUAAGUAGCGCUAAUGGAAGAGCAAGAUCCACAAGUGCAACUCCUCCAUCUAGGAAGGGCAGUUUUGCUAGUCAAACAGAAUCGGAUUUGGAUGACUUCCUGUUAGAUCGCCUGGAGCCAGUCAUCAUUAGUGGACGCGGGGUCAAUGGAGCAGAGCUCAGUCGAACCAAGAGUGCGGAAAGCGCGAGUGGCGCGAGUGUCACGUCAAUUUCAAAUUCCUAUCCUGGUCCACAAUAUUCGAAAGCCACCGAGGAUUCUUCAGAAUCACUGAUUCUAGGGACGGGAUGUUCCUCCCAGCCAACCGAAACUUUUGAUUCUUUACUCCACAGAAUCCAUCGAGAUGAAGAAAACCAGAGCCUAGCCAACCGUCGAUCUUUUCGCAGGUCACAGGUCUUUGAGUCGAAGGAAAAAAUUACAGUUCCACUAUCUGCCAAUACUGAGCUUCCCAAAUCACGUUCAUCGAUUGACAGUGGCAACACUAGCCAAACAUCCUUUUCCCAAUCUAGCGUAUCUAUUACUAUGAAUGGUCACGUUCAUGAUCCGAAAGAUUACAAGAAGCCGGAGAAGAAAUCAAAGUGGAAUUUUUUUCAACGGAGUCACCAAAACUCGCGAAAACGUUCCCUUCCUGAACCGAGCCCUUCUGUCGAAGUGCCAGUUUCCAUAUCUAAACUCCCUGCGUCCAGGCAGGUAGCUCACUACGCACUCCUCGAAAACGAGUUUAUAGAUUCGGAGUCACUCAGAGAUAUUUUCCAGGGGAUCGAGGAAUCACCCAC